UUAUCAAAAAAAUUCACGCUUUUAAACAGACACUGAAUAAGAACAAUACAGGUCUCUUUCGAGGCCCUGUAACUGGAAUGAGCGUAUCCUAAACCCAUGGGCGAGGACCCAUUAGAGGGCAAGUCUGGUGCCAGCAGCCGCGGUAAUUCCAGCUCCAAUAGCGUAUAUCAAAGUUGCAGCAGUUAGAAAGCUCGUAGUUGGAUUUUGGGAGUGGGAUGGCGGUCCGCUGCCCUUAGCUGGGUGUCCGGUACCUCGGGGCCCAGAGCGUUUACUUUGAAAAAAUUUGAGUGUUCAAAGCAGGCCGGCCAGCCGCCGCUGAAUACCGCAGCUAGGAAUAAUGGAAUAGGACUCCGGUUCUAUUUUCUGGAACCUGGGGCCAUGAUUGAGAGGGACGGCCGGGGGCAUUCGUAUUGCGCCGCUAGAGGUGAAAUUCUUGGACCGGCACAAGACGCACGAAAGCGAAAUCAUUUGCCAAGAAUGUUUUCAUUAAUCAAGAACGAAAGUCGGAGGUUCGAAGACGAUCAGAUACCGUCAUAGUUCCGACCGUAAACAAUGCCGACCCGCGAUCCGGCGGCGUUAUUCCCAUGACCCGCCGGGCAGCGUGCGGGAAACCAUGAGUCUUUGGGUUCUG
Molecule: non-coding RNA, 631 nt
Filed under: Danio rerio (zebrafish)
Lineage: Eukaryota; Metazoa; Chordata; Actinopteri; Cypriniformes; Danionidae
Description: Eukaryotic small subunit ribosomal RNA
Rfam family: Eukaryotic small subunit ribosomal RNA
Source: Rfam by way of RNAcentral